Papaver somniferum (opium poppy) is the source of this 326-nucleotide long non-coding RNA. RefSeq lists it as uncharacterized. The transcript has 4 exons. Lineage: Eukaryota; Viridiplantae; Streptophyta; Magnoliopsida; Ranunculales; Papaveraceae. The record is from RefSeq and is a predicted model, not a curated record.
AUUUAUAACAUGAAUCAUAAACCCUACCCAGUAAAAAGAAUAACCAAAUAUCAGCUGCGGUUAGAUUUUGUGGGGUCAAUCCAGUCAAGGUGUACACGGUGAAGCAGAUCUAUAUAUCUCUGAAUAUUUCUUGGGGUCAAUCCAGUCAAGGUGUACACAGUAAAGCAAAUCUAUCAAAUCAAGUCCCAAAGACUUGAAGUCUCGAUUGUUGCUUUGUUUUAACUCCCACUUUAUUAUCUAUUUAUCUUUUUUUUUUUAAUUAUAUUUGGCUAUUUGAUUUAGAUUGUUAAACAUGGAAUCUGGUGCGAGUCAAUUAAACCCAUUAA